AGGCAGUGUGCUGUAAGCUGGCU
This 23-nucleotide microRNA is filed under the name Sarcophilus harrisii (Tasmanian devil). RNAcentral's name for it is "Sha-Mir-34-P3b_5p (mature (guide))". RNAcentral also lists the same sequence under 1 other name. Lineage: Eukaryota; Metazoa; Chordata; Mammalia; Dasyuromorphia; Dasyuridae. The record is from RNAcentral.